GAAAUAUAUUAUCCUCCUUCUUUCUGAAUCUCUUUCAGCUUUUUGGAAGUAACCCCCCUUUUAGCCAAAAAUGUAAAUAUUUGCAGAAACCUCGCAAAUCACCCUGAAAUGAAGCAUCAAUUUCAUGAAUCUGAAUAUCCUACAGUGAGAUGCCCUUCAUUAUUGAAGACGCUAGUCGGUGAAGAAGCUGCUGUAUUCUGAGGCAUGAUAAGGCACAUGUAUAUCUCAAUCAACAGGAGUGAAUAAAGAUGAAUCACAUACUACAUUAUCACUCUCUAUAAUUGUAUCAUAUUGUUUCUUCUUUUUUUUUUCCUUCAAUCAGAUGUAAUUUAAAGGUCCCAAAAGCGACAAAUAAUAAAAUGUUCCAUAUAUGCUGGCCACAAGCAAUUUCAAAUUCAAAUCUUCUUCAUGUAAACUAGACCAAAAAUAGUAUUCUGAUGUGUCUACCCAAGAAAAAA
Molecule: long non-coding RNA, 458 nt
Organism: Neltuma alba
Lineage: Eukaryota; Viridiplantae; Streptophyta; Magnoliopsida; Fabales; Fabaceae
Exons: 2
Source: RefSeq, a predicted model, not a curated record